This 719-nucleotide long non-coding RNA is filed under the name Lepisosteus oculatus (spotted gar). RNAcentral's name for it is "lncRNA (ENSLOCG00000022693.1)". The record is from RNAcentral. Lineage: Eukaryota; Metazoa; Chordata; Actinopteri; Semionotiformes; Lepisosteidae.
UUCCACGCUGAAGAGCAGGAAGAAAGGUUGCAGCGUCUUGCCUGUAGAGGCUCUUCAGGUGUGAGGGGUGGAGAGGAGGGGAGGGGUCAGUGGCCACAGCAGGAUGAGCAGGGGGCUGAGGGAGAAGUGCGAGGGGCCAGGAGCCAGAAUCACACCUGAAGAAGAUUUGACGGCUGAAACGUGUUCCUCCCAUUUUCAGUGUGGAAAUAAACCGUACCUGUUCAGACAGAGACGGUAUUGAGGCGCGGAGACCGGGGACGCUGGCAGGCAGACAGCUGUCCUGCUGUCAGUCCCUUGCUGUGGUGCUGGGCUGACCGGCAGGAGGGCCCUGAGGGGCUGGUUAGCGGGGUGGGAGCUCGUUCUGGGGCGCCAGCUUGACCUUCUCCUGUCCCCGCAGCAGCGUCUCCGUCGGUGGCCAGCGGGAGCGCCGGGGUGUCCGCGGAAGGCAGCCUUGCCACCACUACGGAGGGGAGCCCCGACUUGGAGGACAGCAAGGCCAGCUCCUCUGGCCCGGUCACCCAGCAGAUGACAGCCAUGAGCAUCUCCCGUGACGAUGGCGCCUCUGAGUCGGACCAAGCCGAAAAAGAGGAAGAGGAGGGUGGCCCCAGAGUUGCAGGGGCGGCUCUGGACACGGCGCAGGGCUCCGCCGAGGGCAGCGACAAGACACCUGACAAGAGCAAGAAGAAGAACCGCUGCUUCACCUGCCGUAAGAAAGUGGG